RNAcentral lists this transfer RNA (85 nucleotides) under Felis catus (domestic cat). It matches the Rfam family "tRNA". From Rfam's summary of the family: Transfer RNA (tRNA) molecules are approximately 80 nucleotides in length. Their secondary structure includes four short double-helical elements and three loops (D, anti-codon, and T loops). Lineage: Eukaryota; Metazoa; Chordata; Mammalia; Carnivora; Felidae. The record is from Rfam by way of RNAcentral.
GCCUGGGUGGCUCAGUCGGUUGGGCAUCUGACUUCGGCUCAGGUCAUGAUCUCACGGCCCGUGAGUUCAAGCCCCACGUCGGGCU